GGGUUUGUGGUUCAAUGGCAGAGCCCUUGCCUGGCAUGCAUGAGGCACUGGGUUCCAUCCCCAGCACCA
Molecule: transfer RNA, 69 nt
Filed under: Ictidomys tridecemlineatus (thirteen-lined ground squirrel)
Lineage: Eukaryota; Metazoa; Chordata; Mammalia; Rodentia; Sciuridae
Description: Spermophilus tridecemlineatus (thirteen-lined ground squirrel) tRNA
Rfam family: tRNA
About the family: Transfer RNA (tRNA) molecules are approximately 80 nucleotides in length. Their secondary structure includes four short double-helical elements and three loops (D, anti-codon, and T loops). Further hydrogen bonds mediate the characteristic L-shaped molecular structure. tRNAs have two regions of fundamental functional importance: the anti-codon, which is responsible for specific mRNA codon recognition, and the 3' end, to which the tRNAs corresponding amino acid is attached (by aminoacyl-tRNA synthetases). tRNAs cope with the degeneracy of the genetic code in two manners: having more than one tRNA (with a specific anti-codon) for a particular amino acid; and 'wobble' base-pairing, i.e. permitting non-standard base-pairing at the 3rd anti-codon position.
Source: Rfam by way of RNAcentral